UUGCUCUUGGAUACUUAGAGACUUCUCCUGAGACCUAACUCAUCUUCAUCAAGGUGACCAUCGACUUGGAGAGCUUAUCAACAACUUUCCUUUUUCCUUUCUUCUUGUUUAUUUUAUUGCACUAUGUAAGAGACCCGAAACAUGGAGAGCAUCUGUAUUGUAGAAGCACAUAGCACAAAAUUCGCCAACUUCUAAAGAACUAGCAUAAAUAGUUGCUUUCUUGUGAUGUUUUUCAGAAUGCUUGUGCAAGUGGUGAAGAUGCAAAGAUAUUCGCAGCUAAAUUUGAAGAAAAGUGUUCCUGAACUUCACAACUCAAGCACGUAGCAAGCCAAACAAAAGUGUCUGGAGGAGAAGAUAGAGUAGCAAAAGGAAAAGAGACUUAAUGUAGAAAAAUACUUGUAUCUUUUAUUUCUUAUCAGGUAUUACUUGAGCAAAUGUAUUGUAUCGUUAUUUAACUUGUUUUCGAUGAUGUGCAACUAUAUCUAUUAAUUUCUAAAAUUGACAUU
Solanum lycopersicum (tomato) is the source of this 506-nucleotide long non-coding RNA. RefSeq lists it as uncharacterized. Lineage: Eukaryota; Viridiplantae; Streptophyta; Magnoliopsida; Solanales; Solanaceae. The record is from RefSeq and is a predicted model, not a curated record.